Molecule: long non-coding RNA, 365 nt
Organism: Quercus lobata
Lineage: Eukaryota; Viridiplantae; Streptophyta; Magnoliopsida; Fagales; Fagaceae
Exons: 4
Source: RefSeq, a predicted model, not a curated record
UUUACACGUAAUGUAGCUGGGUCCCAUUGUAUCUGCAUAUGGAUGCCGGUUGUCCUCCAAGAAACCUCGUUCUAAAAAUGGGGAUAGUGCUGAGUCUGAUCAAAGGGAAUUGGAGGAGAUUCAGCAAAAAGUGGGACUUUGGGGAUAUCUUAUGCUAAUUACAUACCAGACUUGUGCAGGGUGCUGUGAUGCUAAUAGACAUUGUGUUGUGGUGUAUUCUUGUGCCAUUUUUAUUGGGUGAUCAGUUUAGCCUAACCCUGGUAACUAAUUAUUUGUUUGUGGUCACUUUGGAUUUCUUUGGUAGAGGUGUGUACUGGCUUGAUCAUAAUUUCUUAUUGGUGGCCUUUAGGGGAUUUACUUUUGGC